GGAGCAGGGGCCAGCGACCCACGUCUACAUGCAUACUUCUCUUACACUGCUGCUACUGGAAAAGCUGAACCCCGCGCCAGGACCCCAGCCCCCUGCAAGGACCCGUGAGCGUCUGGGAAGCUGUCUCUGGGACUGAAGCCCCCCACCUCCGCCGGGCUGGCGGCCACUGCGGUACCCUACGCCCCGUCGGGCUGGUCCUGCACAAUUUGGGAAAAAGCCGCAGCGCUUCUGCAAGGUCUACGUGGCCAUGAGCAUGCAACGCUUGGCUCCAAAAAAGACACGAAAGGAGCAAAGCGCCAACGACCACCCGAUCGGAGGGCCCGAGGGGCGCCUCUUCACCAGUCAGCUGCAGCUUAAGUUCCGUGCAUUAUCUGAAAGGAACAGCUGGCUGGAGGUAUCCAGGGCUGUCACUCCAACCUCUGCAGCAGUGACCUCAACUCCCAGCACUUCAAAACCCAGACAGAAACGUCCAACAAACUCCCAGUCCAGGAGCGCUGCAAAACCAACGCCAGUUGUUUUUCUGCAGAAAAUCAUCAACUGUGGAGAAGAAGAAGGGAAAUAAGAAAGAAAGAAAACCCUAAAAACCACCCUGGCGCCCGGGCCCGCAGGCCUCGGGCCGGCUCUGAAAAGUUUGGGCUGUGCACGUGAUGAGCGCGUAGGCGGGAGCCCCAGACAGGACCCGGGCGGGCAUUUCGAGAAAAAGCAGCGGUGACAGCCUUUGGUCCCCAUCUCCAUUGUUCCUGCCAGCUCUGGACCCCAGGCUGCAUGAGACGUAGGUCCCAGGGGACACCCGACCCCGUGGCCCCAGUCUUAGCAAGGGAGAGAUGCACUGACCUUCUGCCAGGUAUAGAACUAUUGAAUGGUACAGUUUGAGAUCUUCGAAACCAUCAGGACUGAUCAUUUUCUGGCUACUUUCUACAUAGGAAUCCUAGAGUUCCUUGGAGAGGAUAUGAAGGUUAUUCUCAGGCCAUGCAGAUGGGCAAGAAAGGAUGUGCGUCCAUGGUUCCUCUUCAAAUCCAACCAAAACAGCCUUGCUUCCGUUGGCUUUAUAUAAUACUGCAACUCUUGAUAAUCUGAUUUAACACAAAUUUCCUCAUUGAGUUUCUCCUCAUGAAGAAACGGCCUCAGUGAGGUAAAUCGGAAUGCACAGGAGCACAUAGCAGGUUAGUGCAGACCAGAAAUCAAACCCAGGCUUUCUGACUGCUCAAUAGACCACAAUCUACCAUGCUACCAUGGAAACUUUAAAACAGAUGAAAGUAAAAACAAACAAACAACAACUUAAAAAAACAAAAACAAAAACAAAAGCAAAACCCAGAGCCUCUCUAGGAAAUACCAACGUGCUUUUGCCAAGUGGGGUUUCUCUCACUUCAUAAGAGCAGUAAACACUAAACCAAGGGAAUGUGAAUUUAGAGGUUAGAAAAGAUAACCAGAGAUUUGGCCGUGCGUGGGGCUCAUGCCUGUAAUCCCAGCACUUUGGGAGGCUGAGGCUGGUGGGUUGCCUGAGGUCAGGAGUUUGAGACCAGCCUGGCCAACAUAGUGAAACCCUGUCUCUACUAAAAAUACAAAAAUUAGCUGGGUGUGGUGGCGUGCACCUGUAAUCCCAGCUACUAGGGAGGCUGAGGCAGGAGAAUCGCUUGAACUGGAGAGGUGGAGGUUGCAGUGAGCCGAGAUGGUGCCAUUGCACUCCAGCCCGGGCAAGAAGAUUGAAAUUCCAUCUCAAAAAAAAAAAAAAAAGAAGAAGAAGAAGAAAAGAUGCCAGAGAUUUGGCGGGGUGCCGGGCUCAUGCCUGUAAUCCCAGCACUUUGGGAGGCCAAAUGGACAGAUCACUUAAAGUUAGGAGUUCCAGAAAAGAUGCCAGAGGUUGGGCCUUUACAUUGUUUUGUAAAUUCGUCAAACCUUAAUCUUAUUUAACUUCCCCACCUAUACAAAAAUUAAUGCAGUAAUUGCUUUUUAAGGAAGCAUUCCAAAGGCCAAAUAAUUCAUAUAUGUCAAGUACCCUGGGAUUCAGGAAAGAAAAAUUCUCUAUAGCUCUAAAGCAAGGAUUAUAAUUUGAGGUUUCCUGACAGUUUUUUUUAAGAAAAGAAAUACCAACCUUUCUUUUCUGGGCCAAAUGCCAAGGUAGGUAAUAACCCCUUGCCCAUUUUCUUUCCCCAAGCUGUUUUAACUAGAUAAGAGCUCUGCCUUCAUUUCCUUUUGUGAACUGACUUGGGAUGUUGCCACAUGCCCUUCAACUACUGUCAAUGCUCUAGUUUGCUGAGUGCUUUCCCCUUCAGAAUGGAAAAGGUUUUGGCAUAAAUAUCUAGCUUUCUUCAAGGUACAAAAUGCUUUCCAAGGAGCAGAGGACAGAGGGAACAAACUUUCAUGUUUCCCAAUUGUAUUAGUCUGUUCUCAUGCUGCUAAUAAAGACAUACCCAAGACUGUGUAAUUUAUAAAGGAAAAAGGUUUUACUGACUCACAGUUCCACAUGGCUGGGGAGGCCUCACAAUCAUGGUGGAAGAUGAAGGAAGAGCAAAGGGAUGUCUUCCAUGGCCAGCAAAAAGAGAAUGAAAGCCAAGGGAAGGAGAAAACACCUUAUAAAAUCAUCAGAUCUCAUGAGACUUAUUCACUACCAUGACAACGGUAUGGGUGAACUGCCCCCAUGAUUCAGUUAUCUCCCACCGGGUCCCUCCCACAAAAUGUGGGAAUUAUGGGAGCUACAAUUCAAGAUGAGAUUUGGGUGGGGACAGAGCCAAACCAUAGCACCAAUACUAGAUCCCUCAGCUUCAAGGUGGCUCCAGUGAUCCUAAGAGGAUCAAGGAAGCCCUACCUCCCUGCUUGUCCUGGAUGUCUCUGACACAUGUUAAGGGAAAAGCAUUAAUAAAGUGCUCAAGAAACAAUUGUUCAAUAGGUCAGUCUUAUAGUCAAUACCUCAUCCCAUGCUCUGUCCCCUACUCUUUGAAAAACUGCCCAAAGAAACAAUGGAUCCACGGAGUCACAAAAACAGGGCAUCCAGUGACCCUCCCCAUCUUACCAGCAAUGUGACUUUCCCACAGUAUAACGACAGCAGUGCCCAGAGCCCAAUACAAGCAGGGCUCUACACUGAGACAGAGCUGAGUUCUAGUAGCAACUACCCUCCUUAUAGCAGUGUUAUUUUAGGCAAGUUUCUCAGCUUCUGGAAGGUUCUUUUCUCAGGCUUACAUACUUUUUACCCGAAAAGAUCUUGGAGUCGUCCAUAUCAGCACAAGCAAUCUACAUUAUUAGUUUUUUUAAUGGCUGCACAGCAUUCCAUGAUAUGGCUGUACCAUUACUUAACUAUCGAUGAACAUUUAGGCAGUUUCCAGUCUCUUUCUGCAGGAGCCAAUGCUGCAAUGUGGUGGGUCAUAACUUU
RNAcentral lists this long non-coding RNA (3367 nucleotides) under Homo sapiens (human). Its description in RNAcentral is "non-protein coding lnc-PERP-2:19". The record is from RNAcentral. Lineage: Eukaryota; Metazoa; Chordata; Mammalia; Primates; Hominidae.